This 88-nucleotide transfer RNA is filed under the name Ignisphaera aggregans. RNAcentral's name for it is "tRNA-Leu". It matches the Rfam family "tRNA". Rfam says of the family: Transfer RNA (tRNA) molecules are approximately 80 nucleotides in length. Their secondary structure includes four short double-helical elements and three loops (D, anti-codon, and T loops). RNAcentral also lists the same sequence under 1 other name. The record is from RNAcentral. Lineage: Archaea; Thermoproteati; Thermoproteota; Thermoprotei; Desulfurococcales; Desulfurococcaceae.
GCGGGGGUGCCCGAGCUAGGUCAAAGGGGUCGGGCUCAGGACCCGAUGGCAUAGGCCUGCGUGGGUUCAAAUCCCACCCCCCGCACCA